UAAUAUGGGAUCAUUAAUUAGGGGAAAAGCUUCCUUAAACAGUCUAGUGGGAAUUGGGUCAGACACGUUGGCAGGUGUGAUGGGGCCCUCCAUCCUGACAGAAGCAGCAGCAGCAGCAGAAUUAGCAGCAGCAGGCCUGCAUCCUGGUCGCAGAAUAGGAGCCUGUCCUCUAUUUGGAGGGAGAAAUAACUGGAUGUUUGGUCCAGAUGUGGAUUGUCACAUCUCCACAUUCUCCAACCUCAUCUAUUUUUUGGAGUUGGAAGCUGUGAAUCAGCAACGGUCCGGUGGACUCAAUCCCUCAUUUCUUGGUUUUUCUGCCCCUGCUGCAACCUGAAAUGAAUCAAGGGUAUUAUGUUAAUGUUUUGACAAAGUCAGAGGAAUGAAAGAAAACAAGGAGCCGUGCUUAUACCACUGACUGAGCUCAAACAGCUGUUCUGUGGCUCCCACAGGAACAGGGCCGGCUAAAGAAGAUGUCUGGUGAGGCGGGAGGCUGAGUGGGAACCAGAGCGGGCUGAGGAGGACUCCACCAAAGCUUCAGCUGUGACACCAGUUCUGCCUUGCUGUUUUAGUGGCUCAGCUUUGAAAAGUCACUUCCCAAUCCAGUCAUGAUAGCAGUUGUUGUUUCCAGUGGACUGGAAGCUCCAGCACUGACUCUGCUGCUGCCACAGAUGGAGAGGGACCAGGACAGGCCUGUGAGGGACCAGGAACAACCAGAAGAAGGACUCUGCCAGCUGAUGUGCCAUCAAUGUGGGCCAAGGAAAUACACAGGUGAACUUCUGGGGGUGGAGUACCUUUACCAGCAAACUGGUAAAGUUCUCCAAGAUUACAGACAGGCUGUUGAAGAGUCGGAGACAAUGGACAUGGAGAUUGAAGACAGCUUCAAUGAACCUGAAGAGUUUUAAGACUUCACUGUGGCCACUUUGGAGCCAGUGAGGACCUUCACAGUCUCUUGAACAUCAUCUUUGGCACCCACCAGCAGUCUGUCAACUCCAGACCCUCAGCCUGGCCCCUCUCGGUCUCCUCCUCCUCCUCCUGAGGGUCCUUCAACGACCUCCAAAACAGAUCUGCCAGCAACCCCUCAACAGUUGGACUCUUCAUGUGACGAUUCUGUCGGCCCUGACAACGUGGAGGGUUAUGGGGCCGUGCAGGAGCUGGCUGAUUUCUUGGUCGGCCUCCGGCACAAUAACCUUGUGGUGACUGCAGAGGAGUCAAACCGGAUCGUUUCCCUGUGGCAGUCAUUGGGGGAUUAUGACAAACAAAAAACGGUUUACUCCCAGCGUCACCAAGCCCACCUGAAGCAGGGUAGAUUUAGAGCAACCAAAAAAAUUGUAGCCCCCGGCGUCGAAAGCACAAAAAGGUGAGUAGACAAAAAACACACAAGAGCUGAGCCACCAAAAGAAGUGACACAAAACAAAAUGUUUGGCUUUAAAAUAAUACUUUAAAUCAUAUAUCCUUGUUUUUUUGUCCUUGCUUUUCCCCCUCUUUU
Oryzias latipes (Japanese medaka) is the source of this 1486-nucleotide non-coding RNA. Lineage: Eukaryota; Metazoa; Chordata; Actinopteri; Beloniformes; Adrianichthyidae. The record is from RefSeq and is a predicted model, not a curated record.